Molecule: long non-coding RNA, 431 nt
Filed under: Cricetulus griseus (Chinese hamster)
Lineage: Eukaryota; Metazoa; Chordata; Mammalia; Rodentia; Cricetidae
Description: lncRNA (ENSCGRG00015042032.1)
Source: RNAcentral
GCUCUCUCACUUGAACCCAGAGCUCCCCAGUUUGGCUAGUCUAGCUACUGAGGUUGCCCUGUGGGACUUCACAUCUCCAUCUCUUGAGUACCGGGAAUUGCAGACUAGCUGGCCUGUAAGAUUCUGCAGGUUCUCCUGUCUCACGGUAAGAGUGCUGAGAUUAUAAAUACUCACUGUUGUAUCUGGCUUAACAUGGGUUUUUGAAGUACUUUCUCCAGACUCCAUAAGGAAUUAAAAAGUUCCAUGUGAUCAGACUUGGCUCAGUGCAUUGAACCACUAGCUUGCUAUACAAAGAUGAGGACCUGGCUUUGGAUCCCCAGAACCUACAGAAAAGCCUAACUAGAGCCCAGUGUGCAGGUGGUUGAAGCAUCCCUGGAACAAGCUGUUAGAUUAGCUCAACAGGUGAGCUUUCUGUGCAAUGAGGGACUGAC